RNAcentral lists this ribosomal RNA (426 nucleotides) under uncultured bacterium. RNAcentral describes it as "partial 16S ribosomal RNA". It matches the Rfam family "Bacterial small subunit ribosomal RNA", at positions 354 to 796 of the family's 1533-position model. The record is from RNAcentral.
GUGAGGAAUUUUCCGCAAUGGGCGAAAGCCUGACGGAGCAAUGCCGCGUGAAGGAUGAAGGCCUAUGGGUUGUAAACUUCUUUUCUCAGAAAAGAAUUAUGACGGUAUCUGAGGAAUAAGCAUCGGCUAACUCUGUGCCAGCAGCCGCGGUAAGACAGAGGAUGCAAGCGUUAUCCGGAAUGAUUGGGCGUAAAGCGUCUGUAGGUUGUUUAAAAAGUAUUCUGUCAAAGAUUAGGGCUUAACCCUAGAUAGGCAGAAUAAACUUUUAAGCUAGAGUUUGAUAGAGGCAGAGGGAAUUCCCGGUGGAGCGGUGAAAUGCGUAGAUAUCGGGAGGAACACCAAAGGCGAAGGCACUCUGCUGGGCCAAUACUAACACUGAGAGACGAAAGCGAGGGGAGCAAAUGGGAUUAGAUACCCUUGUAGUCC